This 497-nucleotide ribosomal RNA is filed under the name uncultured bacterium. RNAcentral describes it as "partial 16S ribosomal RNA". It matches the Rfam family "Bacterial small subunit ribosomal RNA", at positions 30 to 523 of the family's 1533-position model. The record is from RNAcentral.
AUUGAACGCUGGCGGCAUGCUUUACACAUGCAAGUCGAACGGUAACAGGCCGCAAGGUGCUGACGAGUGGCGAACGGGUGAGUAAUGCAUCGGAACGUGCCCAGUCGUGGGGGAUAACUAUCCGAAAGGAUAGCUAAUACCGCAUACGAUCUGCGGAUGAAAGCGGGGGACCUUCGGGCCUCGCGCGAUUGGAGCGGCCGAUGUCAGAUUAGGUAGUUGGUUGGGUAAAGGCUCACCAAGCCAACGAUCUGUAGCUGGUCUGAGAGGACGACCAGCCACACUGGGACUGAGACACGGCGCAGACUCCUACGGGAGGCAGCAGUGGGGAAUUUUGGACAAUGGGCGCAAGCCUGAUCCAGCAAUGCCGCGUGCAGGAAGAAGGCCUUCGGGUUGUAAACUGCUUUUGUACGGAACGAAACGGCUCUGGUUAAUACCUGGGGUCAUGACGGUACCGUAAGAAUAAGCACCGGCUAACUACGUGCCAGCCGCCGCCGUAA